This is a long non-coding RNA of Saccostrea echinata, 619 nucleotides long. RefSeq lists it as uncharacterized. The record is from RefSeq and is a predicted model, not a curated record. Lineage: Eukaryota; Metazoa; Mollusca; Bivalvia; Ostreida; Ostreidae. The transcript has 4 exons.
UGGUUCACAACCACUACCAGCUGACUUAUUACUUUUCCUUGAGUUUCUCCAAGAAUGAUAGAGUUCAUGCUGCUACAGUAAUGUUGAAGUUUAAUGGUGCCUUUUAAUUCAGCAGACUUUGAGGCAUCAGACAAGGACUUUUUUUUUAUAACAAAUCCUCAUAUGUAACAUAUCCUUAUCCAAGACUUCCUCGGCCAAAUGGUUCUUCAUUUUAGACUCCGAGGUCCUCUUGAAUAGCCAUUUCAUCUAUGAUGAGGCCUCCUUCAUGACCCUCUGUGGAGAGAUUUUGGACAGAUGCUUCAUUCCUUAUCCAUUCUAAGGCAUGCUUCUGGAUACCAGCUUGUUGGGAAUUCCAGGAUACAGUCGUAAAGUUUUCAAGACAUCAAAUGUAUUACGAACACUCCUCACUUAAAGAAAAAUUCUGAGAUAUAUGAAGCCUUCCAAUAUCGAUAAUUUUUCCACAUAGGUUAAUUUCGUAACUCUUGUCCCAAGAAAAAGUAAUUUCACUUAAUAAACGGUUCCCAUUGAUGCAGUGUCCAUUGACAUAUCCUAUUGUAAUUUCUUUUUCAGUUUCUUUAAUUUUAAAAACAUCAUCUCCACCAUGAUUUUGAAUGUCGAA